GACCAAUUUGAUAUGCACCACUGGUGUGAGGUUAGAUAUUUAGGUAAAUAACAAUAUUCCUAUUUUUUAAGUUAACAGGAAACAUAACACAGGACUCCAGAUUUAGGGAGAGAAUGCAAAAAACUACUAUCAUACUCCAUCCAGUAAGGACAAGUGUCCCUGCGUCACCAAAGCAAUGAGAAUUUGCACAAAGAAAACACAGUUCUCCAAUUGUGACAAAUACUAGACCGUGAGCCAUGAGUUACGAGAACAAGCAACUGUUUAAAUGCCAUGGGCAAAUUUUUUUUAUCAUCUUGAAAACAUCACUGAUGUUCUAGGAUGAAAUUCUUGAAGACGACUCCCUGACCUGAAGGGAUGGAUGGAGGAGUAAAGAAAAGAAGACAAGCAUCUUUGGCCCAUAAAAAAUGAGAGGGCAUGCUAUUUUUUUUAAAUCAAAUGAGGAGGUAUUCGCAAGCCAAUGGACAACGGAAUUACCUAAGGAGACAUUAUAAAGCAGCAAGAGCAACUAGCAUUUUGACAAGCAUUCUGCCUGAGAGUCACUCGUACCAUCUCAUUUUGACCUGGCCACUUGGAGUUCAGGCUGAAUUCAUACUACUUAUGAGGAGAAGUCCUGAGACCGAGGAGAGAGGGGAAGAUAGUCCAGACAUAAACAAUUUCAAGAGAUCCACUUCAUCAAGGAAGCAAAGUAUUAAAUAAACAACUUCAACAACAAGCUUGUCAAUAAACCUUGGUGUCUCUGUCUCUGCCUGAAGGAGGGUAAGCCCUCCAACCCAUCUGCCUUCCAGCCACAUACCCUGGAUGAUCUUGGUUCAAUCACCUGUGACACGUGUGUUCUCCAGGAAAUCUUUGUAGAGAUUAAACGAUAAAACUAUAUGCAUAGGGGAUACUUAUUUGUUAAGCAGUAGGCACUAAACAAAUAAUAAAAUUAUUUUAUUUCAUGAAAAUGGGAGAUAGGUCUCCCAAUUAAACAUUCCUGACAGAAUCCCAACAAGCACUUUAAUUUAUCUGCCAGAAAUUGUAAAAUAACAUUUCUUUUUAAAGGCUGUAUCCAUUCUCCCUACUUUUUACCAAUCCUGGCUGUUAUCCUGAAAAUCUAUUCCCAGAACUUGGCAUCCAUCUCCCAUAUUUAAAUCCUUUAAGUUUGAAAUUAUGAUGAAGCUUGGGCACAUAAAGAUUCACACCAUAAUUCACAGAAUAAACAAAGACCACAGGAACAGGGCCACUUCCAGAC
Molecule: long non-coding RNA, 1231 nt
Organism: Camelus dromedarius (Arabian camel)
Lineage: Eukaryota; Metazoa; Chordata; Mammalia; Artiodactyla; Camelidae
Exons: 4
Source: RefSeq, a predicted model, not a curated record